Molecule: ribosomal RNA, 468 nt
Filed under: uncultured bacterium
Lineage: Bacteria
Description: partial 16S ribosomal RNA
Rfam family: Bacterial small subunit ribosomal RNA
Source: RNAcentral
GACGAACGCUGGCGGCGUGCUUAACACAUGCAAGUCGAACGGAAAGGCCCUGCUUUUGUGGGGUGCUCGAGUGGCGAACGGGUGAGUAACACGUGAGUAACCUGCCCUUGACUUUGGGAUAACUUCAGGAAACUGGGGCUAAUACCGGAUAGGAGCUCCUGCUGCAUGGUGGGGGUUGGAAAGUUUCGGCGGUUGGGGAUGGACUCGCGGCUUAUCAGCUUGUUGGUGGGGUAGUGGCUUACCAAGGCUUUGACGGGUAGCCGGCCUGAGAGGGUGACCGGCCACAAUGGGACUGAGAUUCGGCCCAGACUCCUACGGGAGGCAGCAGUGGGGAAUAUUGCACAAUGGGCGGAAGCCUGAUGCAGCAACGCCGCGUGCGGGAUGACGGCCUUCGGGGUGUAAACCGCUUUCGCCUGUGACGAAGCGUGAGUGACGGUAAUGGGUAAAGAAGCACCGGCUAACUACGUG